This 468-nucleotide ribosomal RNA is filed under the name uncultured bacterium. Its description in RNAcentral is "partial 16S ribosomal RNA". It matches the Rfam family "Bacterial small subunit ribosomal RNA", at positions 28 to 507 of the family's 1533-position model. The record is from RNAcentral.
GACGAACGCUGGGGGCGUGCUUAACACAUGCAAGUCGAACGGAAAGACCCUGCUUUUGUGGGGUGCUCGAGUGGCGAACGGGUGAGUAACACGUGAGUAACCUGCCCUUGACUUUGGGAUAACUUCAGGAAACUGGGGCUAAUACCGGAUAGGAGCUCCUGCUGCAUGGUGGGGGUUGGAAAGUUUCGGCGGUUGGGGAUGGACUCGCGGCUUAUCAGCUUGUUGGUGGGGUAGUGGCUUACCAAGGCUUUGACGGGUAGCCGGCCUGAGAGGGUGACCGGCCACAUUGGGACUGAGAUACGGCCCAGACUCCUACGGGAGGCAGCAGUGGGGAAUAUUGCACAAUGGGCGGAAGCCUGAUGCAGCAACGCCGCGUGCGGGAUGACGGCCUUCGGGUUGUAAACCGCUUUCGCCUGUGACGAAGCGUGAGUGACGGUAAUGGGUAAAGAAGCACCGGCUAACUACGUG